Molecule: ribosomal RNA, 253 nt
Filed under: uncultured bacterium
Lineage: Bacteria
Description: partial 16S ribosomal RNA
Rfam family: Bacterial small subunit ribosomal RNA
Source: RNAcentral
UACAGAGGGUGCAAGCGUUGUUCGGAAUUACUGGGCGUAAAGCGCACGUAGGCGGACCAGUCAGUUGGGGGUGAAAUCCCGGGGCUCAACCCCGGAACUGCCUCCAAAACUGCUGGUCUGGAGUUCGAGAGAGGCGAGUGGAAUUCCGAGUGUAGAGGUGAAAUUCGUAGAUAUUCGGAGGAACACCAGUGGCGAAGGCGGCUCGCUGGCUCGGUACUGACGCUGAGGUGCGAAAGCGUGGGGAGCAAACAGG